GAGUUUGAUCAUGGCUCAGAUUGAACGCUGGCGGCAUGCCUUACACAUGCAAGUCGAACGGCAGCAUGAUCUAGCUUGCUAGAUUGAUGGCGAGUGGCGAACGGGUGAGUAAUACAUCGGAACGUGCCCUGUAGUGGGGAGUAACUAGUCGAAGAUUAGCUAAUACCGCAUACGACCUGAGGGUGGAAAGUAGGGGGACCGGCAAGGCCUCAUGCUAUAGGAGCGGCCGAUGUCUGAUUAG
RNAcentral lists this ribosomal RNA (241 nucleotides) under uncultured microorganism. Its description in RNAcentral is "partial 16S ribosomal RNA". It matches the Rfam family "Bacterial small subunit ribosomal RNA", at positions 9 to 244 of the family's 1533-position model. The record is from RNAcentral.